GGUGUUGAAAGCGUUCCACAGGGAUGCUGGCCCAUGUUGACUCUACAAGGUGUUGAAAGCGUUCCACAGGGAUGCUGGCCCAUGUUGACUCUACUAGGUGUUGAAAGCGUUCCACAGGGAUGCUGGCCCAUGUUGACUCUACUAGGUGUUGAAAGCGUUCCACAGGGAUGCUGGCCCAUGUUGACUCUACUAGGUGUUGAAAGCGUUCCACAGGGAUGCUGGGCCAUGUUGACUCUACUAGGUGUUGAAAGCGUUCCACAGGGAUGCUGGCCCAUGUUGACUCCACAAGGUGUUGAAAGCGUUCCACAGGGAUGCUGGGCCAUGUUGACUCUACUAGGUGUUGAAAGCGUUCCACAGGGAUGCUGGCCCAUGUUGACUCUACAAGGUGUUGAAAGCGUUCCACAGGGAUGCUGGGCCAUGUUGACUCUACUAGGUGUUGAAAGCGUUCCACAGGGAUGCUGGCCCAUGUUGACUCUACAAGGUGUUGAAAGCGUUCCACAGGGAUGCUGGGCCAUGUUGACUCUACUAGGUGUUGAAAGCAUUCCACAGGGAUGCUGGGCCAUGUUGACUCUACUUGGUGUUGAAAGCGUUCCACAGGGAUGCUGACCCAUGU
This is a long non-coding RNA of Oncorhynchus keta (chum salmon), 613 nucleotides long. RefSeq lists it as uncharacterized. The record is from RefSeq and is a predicted model, not a curated record. NCBI's taxonomy places the organism in Eukaryota, Metazoa, Chordata, Actinopteri, Salmoniformes, Salmonidae. The transcript is spliced from 3 exons.